AAGCAUCGAUGCCACGACGCCAGGCAGU
This 28-nucleotide small RNA is filed under the name Bombyx mori (domestic silkworm). RNAcentral describes it as "ovarian small RNA-10568". The record is from RNAcentral. Lineage: Eukaryota; Metazoa; Arthropoda; Insecta; Lepidoptera; Bombycidae.